AGCGAACGCUGGCGGCAGGCUUAACACAUGCAAGUCGAGCGGGCACUUCGGUGUCAGCGGCAGACGGGUGAGUAACGCGUGGGAACAUACCUUUUGGUUCGGAACAACACAGGGAAACUUGUGCUAAUACCGGAUAAGCCCUUACGGGGAAAGAUUUAUCGCCGAAAGAUUGGCCCGCGUCUGAUUAGCUUGUUGGUGAGGUAACGGCUCACCAAGGCGACGAUCAGUAGCUGGUCGAGAGGAUGAUCAGCCACAUUGGGACUGAGACACGGCCCAAACUCCUACGGAGGCAGCAGUGGGGAAUAUUGGACAAUGGGCGCAAGCCUGAUCCAGCCAUGCCGCGUGAGUGAUGAAGGCCCUAGGGUUGU
RNAcentral lists this ribosomal RNA (368 nucleotides) under uncultured bacterium. Its description in RNAcentral is "bacterial SSU rRNA". It matches the Rfam family "Bacterial small subunit ribosomal RNA", at positions 29 to 426 of the family's 1533-position model. The record is from RNAcentral.